GGCCAGAGCUUGCGUGUUAUCCACGGCUGCACGGCCGUGGGGCUCUGUGACUGUCCCUGAGCCCUGUCCUCCUCGAUAAAGAGCUUUGGUUUCCCUCUCCUCUGCUUCCCUGAGGGGCUCUUGCCCUCCUGCUCCAGUUCCUUAAUCUUGCAAUGGGGACUGCUGCUGUUCUUGCUUCAUGGAGGAAAGAUAAUCCCCUGCCUAGGUGCUGAAUGGCUUCAGAAUUCAUAACGCCAAGUAAAUAAUUCUCAGGAAAAAUUUGAAUAAUACAAAGUGUCUUUCCAGGGACAAAGAUCUGUGCAUAACAGCAUUAUAAUCCUUUUGCACUGAAUUCUUCCAGUAUUGUGGCAGGAAACAAUUGAGCCUGUGUCCAUACAGAGUCCAAAAUGGAAACCUUCGGGUAUUCUACUUGUGGAAGUACGAUAGAAUUUGCAUUUUUUCCACUUUACUCUGGGAAACUCUGAACGGAGAUGUUUAACAGGAGGAAAACAGUAAGCAU
Non-coding RNA from Cyanistes caeruleus (blue tit), 499 nucleotides. The record is from RefSeq and is a predicted model, not a curated record. Lineage: Eukaryota; Metazoa; Chordata; Aves; Passeriformes; Paridae.